CAUUUUAUUAUAAGUUUAUGAGCAACCAGACGCGUCUGGUGAACAUAUGCAAGAACUGCCCCGUUAGAUCAAAAGGCCAAAACAUAAUGAUUACCUCAAAUAAACACAAGAAAAUAUUCGUGCAACUCGAAUUGACCUUAUACCGACUAGCUAGCCCACCCGCAAAAAUUAAUCCACCACCAGUGUAACCCCUAAUACACCUACACUUACAAAACCAAACAAACCAUUUUACCACUCCAGUAUGGGAGACAGAAAAAGAUACCAAGGCGCCAUAGAACAAGUACCGCAAGGGAACGCUGAAAGAGAACUGAAAUAGCUCAGUAAAGUACCGAAUAGCAGAGAUUAAACCUCGUACCUUUUGCAUCAUGAUUUAGCCAGUGAAAACCAAGCAAAGAGCACUUUAGUUUGAUUACCCGAAACUAAGUGAGCUACUCCAGGGCAGCCUAGUUUAUAGGGCGAACCCGUCUCUGUGGCAAAAGAGUGGGAAGACCUUCGAGUAGGGGUGACAGACCUAUCGAACUUAGUUAUAGCUGGUUGCCCAAGAAUUGAAUAGGAGUUCAGCCUCCCAGCUUCUUUAUUCCCCCGUUACUUUUAAACUUCACGAUAAUAAGAAUACUGAGAGAGUUAGUCAAAGAAGGCACAGCUUCUUUGACAUAAGAUACAACUUUUAUAGGAGGGUAAAGAUCACAUUUUAAUAGGACAUUUCACACCCCUGUAGGCUUAAAAGCAGCCAUCUGUUAAAAGAAAGCGUCUAAGCUUAGAACCAAUUUCAUACCCCUUAAUUUCGAUCAUUAUUUCUUAACCCCCUUGUACUAUUAGGCUCUCCCAUGCAAACAUGGGAGCAACCAUGCUAAAAUGAGUAAUAAGAGAGCUAACGCCUCUCUCCCUGCACAAGUGUAAAUCAGAACGGACCAACCGCUGAAAAUUAACGGCCUCACCCACAGAGAGCACUAAGUAGUAUAAUAAAGACCAAGCAAACCACUUUACUUAGCACCGUUACCCCUAUACAGGCGUGCCCCCAGGGAAAGACUAAAAGAAAGAGAAGGAACUCGGCAAACACAUAUAAGCCUCGCCUGUUUACCAAAAACAUCGCCUCUUGGGAACUAAAGAUAAGAGGUCGUGCCUGCCCUGUGAAUUAGUUUAACGGCCGCGGUAUUUUGACCGUGCAAAGGUAGCGCAAUCACUUGUCUCUUAAAUGGAGACCUGUAUGAAUGGCUUGACGAGGGCUUAACUGUCUCCUCUCUCCAGUCAAUGAACUUGAUCUCCCCGUGCAGAAGCGGGGAUUAAAACAUAAGACGAGAAGACCCUAUGGAGCUUUAGACAUAGAGGUAGUUCAUGGACACUAAACCUUUUAAAGAAUAAAACAAGCCGUGUUCCCUACCUCUCGUCUUUGGUUGGGGCGACCGCGAAGAAAAACUAAUCCUCCGCGACGACUGGGAGUACUUCUCCUGGAACCAAGAGCGACAGCUCUAAGCAACAAAAAUUUUGACUCUACAGAACCGGCUAAACGCCGAUUAACGAACCGAGUUACCCUAGGGAUAACAGCGCAAUCCUCUUCUAGAGACCUUAUCGACAAGGGGGUUUACGACCUCGAUGUUGGAUCAGGACAUCCUAAUGGUGCAGCCGUUAUCAAGGGUUCGUUUGUUCAACGAUUAAAGUCCUACGUGAUCUGAGUUCAGACCGAAGUAGUCCAGGUCGGUUUCUAUCUAUGGUGUGCUUUUUCCCAGUACGAAAGGACCGGAAAGAGGGGGCCCCUGCUUCAAGUAUGCCCCUCCCCCAUCUUAUGAAAGCAUCUAAAUAAGAUAAGAGGGCACAACCCCCUUGUCAUAAAAAAUGACUU
Molecule: ribosomal RNA, 1840 nt
Filed under: Pseudanthias dispar (peach fairy basslet)
Lineage: Eukaryota; Metazoa; Chordata; Actinopteri; Perciformes; Anthiadidae
Description: 16S ribosomal RNA
Rfam family: Bacterial large subunit ribosomal RNA (bases 243-1840)
Source: RNAcentral